GCGGAGGAAGGAAAAAACCAUAGAGCCUCUCAUGUAAACUCAGAAGCCUCACGCCCCAAAGGGAAAUGGAUCACCAGAGGGUCCACUUCAACCAGUAAAGGUCUUAGUGGGAGGAAUUCCCUCCCCCCACUGGGCAUCUGGAGUGUGCUGGACGAUCAGGGUCGCAAACCCAGCGAUAGCCCAAAGGGAGUUGGCGAGCCGGGGUCAGGGGAUCCUUACCUAGCCAGAUCAGUGACCUAGGUCAGGAGAUUCAGGUUUCUGCACUACACGGGAACAGAAGAAACUAUUGAGGGAAAAAUAAGCAUCCUGAAACCCAGGAAAUGGGUGCUUAGGAUGGAACCAAGGGCCUCUCAUGUCCCAGGU
Molecule: long non-coding RNA, 363 nt
Organism: Marmota monax (woodchuck)
Lineage: Eukaryota; Metazoa; Chordata; Mammalia; Rodentia; Sciuridae
Exons: 3
Source: RefSeq, a predicted model, not a curated record